ACGUUAGCGGCGGACGGGUGAGUAACACGUGGGUAACCUACCUAUAAGACUGGGAUAACUCCGGGAAACCGGGGCUAAUACCGGAUAACACAUGAAACCGCAUGGUUUCAUGAUGAAAGACGGUUUUGCUGUCACUUAUAGAUGGACCCGCGGCGUAUUAGCUAGUUGGUAAGGUAACGGCUUACAAAGGCAACGAUACGUAGCCGACCUGAGAGGGUGAUCGGCCACACUGGAACUGAGACACGGUCCAGACUCCUACGGGAGGCAGCAGCG
This 273-nucleotide ribosomal RNA is filed under the name uncultured Staphylococcus sp. RNAcentral describes it as "partial 16S ribosomal RNA". It matches the Rfam family "Bacterial small subunit ribosomal RNA", at positions 89 to 356 of the family's 1533-position model. The record is from RNAcentral. Lineage: Bacteria; Bacillati; Bacillota; Bacilli; Caryophanales; Staphylococcaceae.